Bufo bufo (common toad) is the source of this 528-nucleotide long non-coding RNA. RefSeq lists it as uncharacterized. Lineage: Eukaryota; Metazoa; Chordata; Amphibia; Anura; Bufonidae. The transcript has 2 exons. The record is from RefSeq and is a predicted model, not a curated record.
UUCAUGAGAAUGACAACUUCGACAUGUAUGAGGAGUAAAUCCUCCAAGGUAAACAAAUUACAAAGCAUGUAACAAUAAUUAGACCAGAGAUUAUGGAAAAUUGGUUGUCCAAUUUUCUCAUAUAGGUGACCUAUCGAUAUGAAAAAACUGGACAAGCCCUUUAAGAAAAAGGUUCUGCUCGUUUGUCACAGAAAUGGAGGAUGGAGGCAGUUUGUGCGCUUUGUAGAAUCCAAAAGUCAACACCGAACUUGAGGAAUGAAAACUGGCAUUAAAAUAUUGCUGCUGUGCUCCACAAUACAAUGACCUACGGUAUGGGCAGGUUCUAUUACCAGAUGACUGCAAGCACUGAACUCCUAUUUUCUGAUUUCAUUAAGGCAGAGAUUAGCUUCACUGUGUUGUAUUAAACUAACGUCUCCCGAUUUGUGUCUCUACUGUGUACAGCUCUGCACUAGCCGGUGCGCUUCACUUUGGUGGUCACAGAGUCCUGUCUUCUACAAUCAGUUAAUAAAGUUGUAUUUAUUAUCUGCA